UACAGAGGUGGCAAGCGUUGUUCGGAAUUACUGGGCGUAAAGGGCGCGUAGGCGGCCAUCUAAGUCAGACGUGAAAUCCCUCGGCUCAACCGGGGAACUGCGUCUGAGACUGGAAGGCUUGAAUUCGGGAGAGGGAUGUGGAAUUCCAGGCGUAGCGGUGAAAUGCGUAGAUAUCUGGAGGAACACCGGUGGCGAAGGCGGCAUCCUGGACCGAUAUUGACGCUGAUGCGCGAAAGCCAGGGGAGCAAACGGG
This 253-nucleotide ribosomal RNA is filed under the name uncultured bacterium. Its description in RNAcentral is "partial 16S ribosomal RNA". It matches the Rfam family "Bacterial small subunit ribosomal RNA", at positions 524 to 776 of the family's 1533-position model. The record is from RNAcentral.